UUACUAGAGUAGCACUCGCAUAUCAAUAAGCGGAGGAAAAGAAACUAACAAGGAUUCCCCUAGUAACGGCGAGUGAAGCGGGAAGAGCUCAAAUUUGAAAUCUUAAAGGGUUUCCCUUUACGAAUUGUAGUUUAAAGAAGUGUUUUCUGUUGAGGUUUUGGUAAAAGUUCUUUGGAAUAGGACAUCAUAGAGGGUGAGAAUCCCGUAUUUGACCUUUACUUUCAACUUUGUGAUACACUUUCAAAGAGUCGGAUUGUUUGGGAAUGCAGUCCAAAAUGGGUGGUAAAUUUCAUCUAAAGCUAAAUAUUGGCGAGAGACCGAUAGCGAACAAGUACCGUGAGGGAAAGAUGAAAAGAACUUUGAAAAGAGAGUUAAACAGUACGUGAAAUUGUCAAAAGGGAAGCGUUUGACACCAGUGUUGUUUUUCUGAAAAUCAAUUAAAGAACUGUUUAUGCUAAGUUGUUUAGACUUUAUCAGCUAUCUGUUUAGUUUUGAGCUUUUCUUUAAUGCACUUUUCAGUUAACAAGUCAACAUCAAUUUCUUUUGCUGUAAAAAAGCUUGAGGAAGGUGGCUUGAGAUUCGUCUUAAGUGUUUAUAGCCUCUUGCCUAUGCAGUCGGAGAGAUUGAGGUCUGCAGCGUAGAUCCUUCGGGGCUAAAUGCAUUUGUGCUAAGUUAUAGCAUUUAUAGACAACUUGUUGACUAUGAUUUGUCUUGUAGCUUACUCGCUUAUGUUAUUUUACCUACGCUUAGGAUGUUGAACUACUGAGACAUAGA
RNAcentral lists this ribosomal RNA (774 nucleotides) under uncultured Neocallimastigales. RNAcentral describes it as "partial large subunit ribosomal RNA". It matches the Rfam family "Eukaryotic large subunit ribosomal RNA", at positions 1 to 644 of the family's 3401-position model. The record is from RNAcentral. Lineage: Eukaryota; Fungi; Neocallimastigomycota; Neocallimastigomycetes; Neocallimastigales.